AACGCAUAUUGCGCCCGUCGGUAUUCCGGCGGGCAUGCCUGUUCGAGCGUCAUAUCACCACUCAAGCAUUGCUUGGUAUUGGGCCUAUCCUUGCCGCCUUCAAUGUGCGGUGAGGUGCCUGAAAAUCUGCUCUCCGGCGGCAGGAUCCCGUGGACGAGAUAUCGCCUGAGCGCUGUGGAAUUUUCAACCGCUCCGCGUGAGUCUUGACUAGGGGACCUCCUGUUAGCUGUUAAAAUAAUUCACAUCUAUGGUUUGACCUCGGAUCAGGUAAGGAUACCCGCUGAACUUAA
RNAcentral lists this unclassified non-coding RNA (290 nucleotides) under uncultured Ascomycota. RNAcentral's name for it is "sequence contains 5.8S rRNA gene, ITS2, 28S rRNA gene". The stretch from base 1 to 52 matches the Rfam family "5.8S ribosomal RNA", at positions 103 to 154 of the family's 154-position model. Lineage: Eukaryota; Fungi; Ascomycota. The record is from RNAcentral.